Molecule: non-coding RNA, 92 nt
Filed under: bovine gut metagenome
Description: TPP riboswitch (THI element)
Rfam family: TPP riboswitch aptamer (THI element) (bases 5-84)
About the family: Vitamin B(1) in its active form thiamin pyrophosphate (TPP) is an essential coenzyme that is synthesised by coupling of pyrimidine and thiazole moieties in bacteria.
Source: RNAcentral
AAUCGCUGGGGGAGCAAAAUGCUGAGAAACCGGAUUUCCGGUGACCCUUAUCACCUGAUCCGGGUAAUACCGGCGAAGGGAAGCACAUAUUU